CCUUUUUUGAGAAACGAACGUAUUGUAUAUAGGAAAAUGCUUUGUGUCUCUUUUGUCCGCAGUGGCCGUAUAUCCACACCUCGCUACCGAAGAAGCUAGCCCAAUUGACAAUGCCUACACGGUAGCUUUUAUUUCAUACCAUGUAGGAAGUUGUCUUCUUUCGAUUGGCCUGAUAUGGGGAGCCAAUUCUGGAAACCGUGGCCUCCUACAAAAAGUUGUGCUUGGGACCAAAAUACGGCUCGUCCUUUUCAUCUUUCUCGCGGCGUUUAGAAUUUACGUUCUAUCAAAACUAGAUCUCUCUGACCCGUUUGGAAUAGGCAAGGCUAAUUCAAUUGAGG
Non-coding RNA from Dermacentor andersoni, 338 nucleotides. The record is from RefSeq and is a predicted model, not a curated record. Lineage: Eukaryota; Metazoa; Arthropoda; Arachnida; Ixodida; Ixodidae.